GGAUAUUGCGCAUGGGCGAAAGCCUGACGCAGCAACGCCGCGUGGGGGAUGAAGGCUUUCGGGUUGUAAACCCCUUUCAGCAGGGACGAAAAUGACGGUACCUGCAGAAGAAGCCCCGGCCAACUACGUGCCAGCAGCCGCGGUAACACGUAGGGGGCAAGCGUUGUCCGGAUUUAUUGGGCGUAAAGAGCUCGUAGGCGGUUGCGUAAGUCGGAUGUGAAAACUCAGGGCUCAACCCGGAGACGCCAUCCGAAACUGCGCUGACUAGAGUCCGGUAGGGGAGCAUGGAAUUCCUGGUGUAGCGGUGAAAUGCGCAGAUAUCAGGAGGAACACCAGUGGCGAAGGCGGUGCUCUGGGCCGGAACUGACGCUGAGGAGCGAAAGCGUGGGUAGCGAACAGGAUUAGAUACCCUGGUAGUCCACGCCGUAAACGUUGGGCACUAGGUGUGGGACCUACUUAACGGGUUCCGUGCCGUAGCUAACGCAUUAAGUGCCCCGCCUGGGGAGUACGGCCGCAAGGCUAAAACUCAAAGGAAUUGAC
RNAcentral lists this ribosomal RNA (540 nucleotides) under uncultured Actinomycetes bacterium. RNAcentral's name for it is "bacterial SSU rRNA". It matches the Rfam family "Bacterial small subunit ribosomal RNA", at positions 359 to 914 of the family's 1533-position model. Lineage: Bacteria; Bacillati; Actinomycetota; Actinomycetes. The record is from RNAcentral.